Molecule: ribosomal RNA, 253 nt
Filed under: uncultured bacterium
Lineage: Bacteria
Description: partial 16S ribosomal RNA
Rfam family: Bacterial small subunit ribosomal RNA
Source: RNAcentral
UACAGAGGGUGCAAGCGUUAAUCGGAAUUACUGGGCGUAAAGCGUGCGUAGGCGGAUACUUAAGUCAGAUGUGAAAGCCCUGGGCUCAACCUAGGAAUUGCAUCUGAUACUGGGUGUCUAGAGUAUGGUAGAGGAUGGCGGAAUUUCCGGUGUAGCGGUGAAAUGCGUAGAUAUCGGAAGGAACACCAGUGGCGAAGGCGGCCGUCUGGGCCAAUACUGACGCUGAGGCACGAAAGCAUGGGUAGCAAACAGG